This 297-nucleotide ribosomal RNA is filed under the name Xylolejeunea grolleana. RNAcentral describes it as "partial 26S ribosomal RNA". It matches the Rfam family "Eukaryotic large subunit ribosomal RNA", at positions 47 to 342 of the family's 3401-position model. Lineage: Eukaryota; Viridiplantae; Streptophyta; Jungermanniopsida; Porellales; Lejeuneaceae. The record is from RNAcentral.
UAAGCGGAGGAAAAGAAACUAACAAGGAUUUCCCUAGUAACGGCGAGCGAACCGGAAGUAGCCCAGUUUGAAAAUCUCACGGUUCCACCGUGCGAAUUGUAGUCUGGAGAGGCGUCCUCUGCAGCGGACCGGGCCCAAGUUCCCUGGAAUGGGACGUCGGAGAGGGUGAGAGCCCCGUCGAGCUCGGACCCUGCUGCUCCACGAGGCGCCGUCGACGAGUCGGGCUGUUUGGGAAUGCAGCCCUAAGCGGGUGGUAAAUUCCAUCCAAGGCUAAAUAUGGGCAAGAGACCGAUAGCG